AUUGAACGCUGGCGGCAGGCCUAACACAUGCAAGUCGAGCGGAUGAAGGGAGCUUGCUCCUGGAUUCAGCGGCGGACGGGUGAGUAAUGCCUAGUAAUCUGCCUGGUAGUGGGGGAUAACGUCCGGAAACGGGCGCUAAUACCGCAUACGUCCUGAGGGAGAAAGUGGGGGAUCUUCGGACCUCACGCUAUCAGAUGAGCCUAGGUCGGCUUAGCUAGUUGGUGGGGUAAAGGCCUACCAAGGCGACGAUCCGUAACUGGUCUGAGAGGAUGAUCAGUCACACUGGAACUGAGACACGGUCAAGACUCCUAAGGGAGGCAGCAGUGGGGAAUAUUGGACAAUGGGCGAAAGCAUGAUCCAGCCAUGCCGAGUGUGUGAAGAAGGUCUUCGGAUUGUAAAGCACGUUAAGUUGGGAGGAAGGGCAGUAAGUUAAUACCUUGCUGUUUUGACGUUACCAACAGAAUAAGCACCGGCUAACUUCGUG
RNAcentral lists this ribosomal RNA (484 nucleotides) under uncultured bacterium. RNAcentral's name for it is "partial 16S ribosomal RNA". It matches the Rfam family "Bacterial small subunit ribosomal RNA", at positions 30 to 507 of the family's 1533-position model. The record is from RNAcentral.